This 253-nucleotide unclassified non-coding RNA is filed under the name Hevea brasiliensis (rubber tree). Lineage: Eukaryota; Viridiplantae; Streptophyta; Magnoliopsida; Malpighiales; Euphorbiaceae. The record is from RNAcentral.
CAAGCACGGUAGACCUGGUAUUGGUGCUACUCACUCGUCAAGGUUCAUUCCGCUCAAGUGAUUUCCUCACCUAUGUCUAUUUUUCCUGUUCUAGCCUCAUCAACGCCUUUCUUUAACAAUUUUGAUGUGAGAUAAUGAGUCACUUAAACCAGUUUUUGCUGUAGAACUCUUGUGCUUUUGCUGAAUAUCACUGAUGGAUCAGUAAAAAUUAUAAUGUACUCUUGACUCUACCAUCCUCAUAUUCCACUCAUGG